GAGGGUAUAGCUCAGUGGUAGAGUGUGUGUUUAGCAUGCAGGUUCCUGGGUUCAAUCCCCAGGGCCUCCA
This 70-nucleotide transfer RNA is filed under the name Camelus bactrianus (Bactrian camel). It matches the Rfam family "tRNA". Rfam says of the family: Transfer RNA (tRNA) molecules are approximately 80 nucleotides in length. Their secondary structure includes four short double-helical elements and three loops (D, anti-codon, and T loops). RNAcentral also lists the same sequence under 2 other names. The record is from Rfam by way of RNAcentral. Lineage: Eukaryota; Metazoa; Chordata; Mammalia; Artiodactyla; Camelidae.